AUCAGACCUAGCCGGAGCUGGAUUAAAAAAUGCUCGACGCAGGCAUGGAGGUGCUGGCGAUUUGCUCCAAAUCUGUGCAAUGGACGGCACCAUGUUAUUCAAUUUUUAAUAGCCCUUUGUGUAAUCUGCCCGCUCAUCCAGGCUACCACGUCAUGCAAUGCUUAUUGAUCGCUUCAAGCCCCAGGCCGCCAAAGCACGGUGGCCGCCAAAGCACGGCCGCCAAAGUGUUGUGUAGUGUGUUUAGUGAAA
Molecule: long non-coding RNA, 249 nt
Organism: Uranotaenia lowii
Lineage: Eukaryota; Metazoa; Arthropoda; Insecta; Diptera; Culicidae
Exons: 3
Source: RefSeq, a predicted model, not a curated record